UUCUGCAGCCGUGGGUUCGCAGCCACAGUCAGCCCCGCCCGCAGUGCCUUCGGAUCGAGCGCUCCCUGGGCAGCCGUCACUCGCCCGCCGUCGGACACAGCCGCCCCCACUCCCGUGUUCUCCUGCGGUCCGGACACAUAGUAUGAUCUUUAAGAGUUCCGUCUCCCAGCCACUUUCUAUGGAAAACCGCGGGGAUCAGGCCAUGAUAGCCACUGGCAGCUUUGAAGAACGGGACACCUUUAGAGAAGCUUGAUCCUGGAGGCCUCAGUGUGAGACCUCAAAGCUCCGCACCAGAUUCCGGCAGAGUUCCUCUGUCUCGUCUUGCUGA
Molecule: long non-coding RNA, 328 nt
Organism: Peromyscus eremicus (cactus mouse)
Lineage: Eukaryota; Metazoa; Chordata; Mammalia; Rodentia; Cricetidae
Exons: 3
Source: RefSeq, a predicted model, not a curated record